This 342-nucleotide long non-coding RNA is filed under the name Jatropha curcas. RNAcentral's name for it is "long non-coding RNA (JCUR_LNC003234)". The record is from RNAcentral. Lineage: Eukaryota; Viridiplantae; Streptophyta; Magnoliopsida; Malpighiales; Euphorbiaceae.
GCUUGAAAAACAAUACAAUCACUGUGCGUCAAUGAUAAUUAAGCUAUUCUAUGUUCAACCAAUAUGAAUUAUGCGAUAGAGCAUGAGAGCACUUAAUCAUAAAUAAGGUACAAAUUUACAUUCUAACAUCAUAAAGCAACAUAAUUCUAAUUAAUUAGUUACACCGUACCUGUUGUUAAUAGUACUUUUGUUUAAGAAAUUGGCACAUAGCGCACUUGGCAAUUGAAAAAAUGUCAAAUCAGAAUAUUGAUAAUCACCCACUGCAUUAUUCUAUUUUCAGGCUGAAAUAGAAAUAUUUGGUUGGUGAUGGAGAGCCUCCUUUGAGGCACAUUUAUGUUAUUU